Molecule: ribosomal RNA, 433 nt
Filed under: uncultured bacterium
Lineage: Bacteria
Description: partial 16S ribosomal RNA
Rfam family: Bacterial small subunit ribosomal RNA
Source: RNAcentral
AACGAACGCUGGCGGCAUGCCUAACACAUGCAAGUCGAACGAGACCUUCGGGUCUAGUGGCGCACGGGUGCGUAACGCGUGGGAACCUGCCCUUAGGUUCGGAAUAACUCCCCGAAAGGGGUGCUAAUACCGGAUAAUGUCUUCGGACCAAAGAUUUAUCGCCUUUGGAUGGGCCCGCGUUGGAUUCGCUAGUUGGUAGGGUAAAAGCCUACCAAGGCGACGAUCCAUAGCUGGUCUGAGAGGAUGAUCAGCCACACUGGGACUGAGACACGGCCCAGACUCCUACGGGAGGCAGCAGUGGAGAAUAUUGGACAAGGGGCGAAAGCCUGAUCCAGCAAUGCCGCGUGAGUGAUGAAGGCCUUAGGGUUGUAAAGCUCUUUUACCCGGGAUGAUAAUGACAGUACCGGGAGAAUAAGCUCCGGCUAACUCCGUG